This 253-nucleotide ribosomal RNA is filed under the name uncultured bacterium. RNAcentral describes it as "partial 16S ribosomal RNA". It matches the Rfam family "Bacterial small subunit ribosomal RNA", at positions 524 to 776 of the family's 1533-position model. The record is from RNAcentral.
UACGUAGGGCGCAAGCGUUGUCCGGAAUUAUUGGGCGUAAAGAGCUCGUAGGCGGCUUGUCGCGUCGACUGUGAAAUCCCGCGGCUCAACCGCGGGUCUGCAGUCGAUACGGGCAGGCUAGAGUUCGGUAGGGGAGACUGGAAUUCCUGGUGUAGCGGUGAAAUGCGCAGAUAUCAGGAGGAACACCGGUGGCGAAGGCGGGUCUCUGGGCAAUUCCUGACGCUGAGGCGCGAAAGCGUGGGGAGCAAACGGG